Anaeramoeba ignava is the source of this 71-nucleotide non-coding RNA. Lineage: Eukaryota; Anaeramoebidae. The record is from the annotation of a GenBank genome assembly.
GCAUCGUUGGUUCAGUGGUAGAAUACAAGCUUGCCAUGUUUGUGAUCCGGGUUCGAUUCCCGGACGAUGCA